This 1526-nucleotide long non-coding RNA is filed under the name Equus caballus (horse). RNAcentral's name for it is "lncRNA (ENSECAG00000056267.1)". Lineage: Eukaryota; Metazoa; Chordata; Mammalia; Perissodactyla; Equidae. The record is from RNAcentral.
AAAAAAUAAAAUCUUAAAAAAAAUAACAUCCCCAUUCUUUCAGAUGAGGAAACUGAGCCUCAGAGAGCUUAAGUGACCUGCCUAAGGUCACACAGCUGAUAAAAGCUGGACCCAGGAUUUCAACCCAGGUCUGGCUCCAAAGCCCUUUCCACUCUACCCUGCUCAUGAAUGCACAAAGGACACACCCUUACUGAAAGGGCAGAGGGAAGGAGGGGAGAGUGUUUUCAGGGAAAACAUGAUAGAAACAAAAUGCUCGCCAUGGAGAGAGAGUAAUGAGUAAGGAGGCAGAAGGGAUAGGCCAGGGCCAGAUCGCGGGGGGCCUGAAAGUCACCUGAGGACUUUGCACUUCAUCACAGGCAAUGAGGAGUCGCUGCAAAAAGUGAAGAAGGGGUGGGACGUUAAAUUAGGCGUAGCCUAAGAGAAAGGGAGGUGGUGGUAAGAGCAGAGGGCAAGGGCUGUUGGAGUCAUAGCGCCCUGGAGCUGGAAGGGAUCCUGGAGCUCACCGUCGUCACUCAUCUGACACGUGAGAAAACUGUGGCGCAGAGAGGGGAAGUGAGUUGCUGAAAGGAUGCUUGCUGUGGGGCACUGCCCAGCUCUGCCUCGACCCUCAGCGCCGAAGCCCUCAGCUCCCCAGCUGUAGGGAGUGCUGCUGAUCGACAGUGCACAGCUGAGCCCCUCACCAGGAACGGCCCUUAGCUGAAGAGAGCCACUGCGCCCAAGGUCGUGCACCCAUCCCAGGUGGCAGCCUGCAUCCGUGACGGGUCAGUGCAGAAGCUAAAGCCCUGGCCCCUUUACCACAGUGUAGGACAACUCCGAGGGCCACGCUGGCUCCAGAGCUCCCCGUAGGAGGCUUUGCUGUGGCUGCAUGGCAGUUCCUCUUCCUCCUCUGCCCGGUCCUGCUUUCUUCACCCCCCAUGGGUGUGGAUCCUGAGAGUGCCCCCCAUCCAGGAGCUCGGGACAAGUGACCUUAGAGACUGGGUCAAAAGAUGCUGGGAGAACCCUGCCUCAUCCCCCCGGGAGCGCUCUGCAUGCAAGACCCAGGGUUUCACAACUGGCGCCCAUGCUGUGCCCACUGACACGCCCUGUUCACUGGAGUCCUCCCUCACCAUGUGCCAGCAGCUGCUGCAGCCCUGUUUGGUGGUGAACUGCAGUUUCCAGCAUUCUGACAGUCUUCCAUCUCAAGUAGCCUGUCUCUCUUCUCUGCCUGAGGCUUUCUUGGGCAAUGGAAGCUUGCUCUGCCUGAGCCAGGUGCAACCCGGAAGUGCAGGAUAGUAAACAUCAUUGGCGCUGACCUUCAACCAAUGGGGAUGGAAUAAAUAUCACACACUUCUCCUCCGAUGGGAUGAUUCUGAGGCAUGGUCCACAUGGUUUAUCAGAGAGUCUCCUGCAAGACUGAGUCCCAGCUGCCCACAAGAUAACUUGCUCGUUAACGUACUUGUUAGUAGCUUUUCUCCCUUCUUUGUCUCACUUUCCCCAUUUUCUUCUUGUGCUCCUGAGAUCACCUCCUAAAUAAACCACCUGUACCC